Molecule: ribosomal RNA, 589 nt
Filed under: Nakazawaea sp. RM7
Lineage: Eukaryota; Fungi; Ascomycota; Pichiomycetes; Alaninales; Pachysolenaceae
Description: eukaryotic LSU rRNA
Rfam family: Eukaryotic large subunit ribosomal RNA
Source: RNAcentral
GCGGAGGAAAAGAAACCAACAGGGAUUGCCUUAGUAACGGCGAGUGAAGCGGCAAAAGCUCAAAUUUGAAAUCUAGCACUUUCAGUGUUCGAGUUGUAAUUUGAAGAAGGUAUCUUUGGAGUUGGCCCCUGUCUAUGUUCCUUGGAACAGGACGUCACAGAGGGUGAGAAUCCCGUGCGAUGGGGAGACCAAUUCUAUGUAAAGUUCCUUCGAAGAGUCGAGUUGUUUGGGAAUGCAGCUCUAAGUGGGUGGUAAAUUCCAUCUAAAGCUAAAUAUUGGCGAGAGACCGAUAGCGAACAAGUACAGUGAUGGAAAGAUGAAAAGAACUUUGAAAAGAGAGUGAAAAAGUACGUGAAAUUGUUGAAAGGGAAGGGCUUUUGAUCAGACUUGGUGUUUAGUACUCUCUACUCCUUGUGGGUGGGGCUCUUGCUUUAUACUGGGCCAGCAUCGGUUUGGAUGGCAGGAUAAUGACUUUGGAAUGUGGCUUCAUUCGUGGAGUGUUAUAGCCUUUGUUGAUACUGCCUAUCUAGACCGAGGACUGCGUCUUUUGACUAGGAUGCUGGCGUAAUGAUUAAAAGCCGCCCGUCUU